GGUUAAGCGACUAAGCGUACACGGUGGAUGCCCUGGCAGUCAGAGGCGAUGAAGGACGUGCUAAUCUGCGAUAAGCGUCGGUGAGGUGAUAUGAACCGUUAUAACCGGCGAUUUCCGAAUGGGGAAACCCAGUGUGUUUCGACACACUAUCAUUAACUGAAUCCAUAGGUUAAUGAGGCGAACCGGGGGAACUGAAACAUCUAAGUACCCCGAGGAAAAGAAAUCAACCGAGAUUCCCCCAGUAGCGGCGAGCGAACGGGGAGGAGCCCAGAGCCUGAAUCAGUGUGUGUGUUAGUGGAAGCGUCUGGAAAGGCGCGCGAUACAGGGUGACAGCCCCGUACACAAAAAUGCACAUAUUGUGAGCUCGAUGAGUAGGGCGGGACACGUGGUAUCCUGUCUGAAUAUGGGGGGACCAUCCUCCAAGGCUAAAUACUCCUGACUGACCGAUAGUGAACCAGUACCGUGAGGGAAAGGCGAAAAGAACCCCGGCGAGGGGAGUGAAAAAGAACCUGAAACCGUGUACGUACAAGCAGUGGGAGCCUCUUAAUGGGGUGACUGCGUACCUUUUGUAUAAUGGGUCAGCGACUUAUAUUCUGUAGCAAGGUUAACCGAAUAGGGGAGCCGAAGGGAAACCGAGUCUUAACUGGGCGUUAAGUUGCAGGGUAUAGACCCGAAACCCGGUGAUCUAGCCAUGGGCAGGUUGAAGGUUGGGUAACACUAACUGGAGGACCGAACCGACUAAUGUUGAAAAAUUAGCGGAUGACUUGUGGCUGGGGGUGAAAGGCCAAUCAAACCGGGAGAUAGCUGGUUCUCCCCGAAAGCUAUUUAGGUAGCGCCUCGUGAAUUCAUCUCCGGGGGUAGAGCACUGUUUCGGCAAGGGGGUCAUCCCGACUUACCAACCCGAUGCAAACUGCGAAUACCGGAGAAUGUUAUCACGGGAGACACACGGCGGGUGCUAACGUCCGUCGUGAAGAGGGAAACAACCCAGACCGCCAGCUAAGGUCCCAAAGUCAUGGUUAAGUGGGAAACGAUGUGGGAAGGCCCAGACAGCCAGGAUGUUGGCUUAGAAGCAGCCAUCAUUUAAAGAAAGCGUAAUAGCUCACUGGUCGAGUCGGCCUGCGCGGAAGAUGUAACGGGGCUAAACCAUGCACCGAAGCUGCGGCAGCGACACUAUGUGUUGUUGGGUAGGGGAGCGUUCUGUAAGCCUGUGAAGGUGGCCUGUGAGGGUUGCUGGAGGUAUCAGAAGUGCGAAUGCUGACAUAAGUAACGAUAAAGCGGGUGAAAAGCCCGCUCGCCGGAAGACCAAGGGUUCCUGUCCAACGUUAAUCGGGGCAGGGUGAGUCGACCCCUAAGGCGAGGCCGAAAGGCGUAGUCGAUGGGAAACAGGUUAAUAUUCCUGUACUUGGUGUUACUGCGAAGGGGGGACGGAGAAGGCUAUGUUGGCCGGGCGACGGUUGUCCCGGUUUAAGCGUGUAGGCUGGUUUUCCAGGCAAAUCCGGAAAACCAAGGCUGAGGCGUGAUGACGAGGCACUACGGUGCUGAAGCGACAAAUGCCCUGCUUCCAGGAAAAGCCUCUAAGCAUCAGGUAACAUCAAAUCGUACCCCAAACCGACACAGGUGGUCAGGUAGAGAAUACCAAGGCGCUUGAGAGAACUCGGGUGAAGGAACUAGGCAAAAUGGUGCCGUAACUUCGGGAGAAGGCACGCUGAUAUGUAGGUGAAGCGACUUGCUCGUGGAGCUGAAAUCAGUCGAAGAUACCAGCUGGCUGCAACUGUUUAUUAAAAACACAGCACUGUGCAAACACGAAAGUGGACGUAUACGGUGUGACGCCUGCCCGGUGCCGGAAGGUUAAUUGAUGGGGUUAGCGGUAACGCGAAGCUCUUGAUCGAAGCCCCGGUAAACGGCGGCCGUAACUAUAACGGUCCUAAGGUAGCGAAAUUCCUUGUCGGGUAAGUUCCGACCUGCACGAAUGGCGUAAUGAUGGCCAGGCUGUCUCCACCCGAGACUCAGUGAAAUUGAACUCGCUGUGAAGAUGCAGUGUACCCGCGGCAAGACGGAAAGACCCCGUGAACCUUUACUAUAGCUUGACACUGAACAUUGAGCCUUGAUGUGUAGGAUAGGUGGGAGGCUUUGAAGUGUGGACGCCAGUCUGCAUGGAGCCGACCUUGAAAUACCACCCUU
This 2181-nucleotide ribosomal RNA is filed under the name Escherichia coli. Its description in RNAcentral is "partial 23S ribosomal RNA". It matches the Rfam family "Bacterial large subunit ribosomal RNA", at positions 1 to 2207 of the family's 2925-position model. The record is from RNAcentral. Lineage: Bacteria; Pseudomonadati; Pseudomonadota; Gammaproteobacteria; Enterobacterales; Enterobacteriaceae.